Molecule: ribosomal RNA, 516 nt
Filed under: Triticum aestivum (bread wheat)
Lineage: Eukaryota; Viridiplantae; Streptophyta; Magnoliopsida; Poales; Poaceae
Description: partial small subunit ribosomal RNA
Source: RNAcentral
AUGACACCAUUCACACCUUUGGACUUCACGGAAUCCGGCGUGCUCAACAACAUAUUUGAGGAGAACAUUAUCAGCAGUGGAGGGUCUGGGAAGGUGCACCGUGUCCACCACCCUAGCCUUCACGGUCUCAUUGAGGAUCGCAGCAGCAGAAUAAUGGUUGUUAAGAAGAAGGGCAGCCUCGACGACUGGCUGCACCAUCAUGACCGCAAGGGCGCCCCUGCACCAUUGGACUGGCUGACAAAGCUGACCAUUGCUAUUGAUGCAUCCAGAGGCCUCAACUACAUCCACAAAGAGUGCAGACAGGCUAUUUUCCAUCGGGACAUCAAGUCAGGCAACAUUUUGUUUGACCCAGAGUUCCAUGCCAAGAUCGCCGACUUUAGGCUUGCCCGAAUGGUUGUCAACCCACGCCAGUCCCACCACAGGUCAGCCAUUUUUGGGACACACGGGUACAUGGCCCCUGAUGAGAAUCUCAAAUCCAGCAAGGCAUCUCAAACGUUUCUGUUGAGAUCUAACUGA